RNAcentral lists this ribosomal RNA (448 nucleotides) under uncultured bacterium. RNAcentral's name for it is "bacterial SSU rRNA". It matches the Rfam family "Bacterial small subunit ribosomal RNA", at positions 27 to 524 of the family's 1533-position model. The record is from RNAcentral.
GAACGAACGCUGGCGGCAGGCCUAACACAUGCAAGUCGAGCGCCCAGCAAUGGGAGCGGCGGACGGGUGAGUAACGCGUGGGAAUUUUUCCUGGAGUACGGAACAACCGAGGGAAACUUCGGCUAAUACCGUAUGACGCCGAGAGGCCAAAGAUUUAUCGCUCUGGGGUGAGCCCGCGUCAGAUUAGGUAGUUGGUGGGUAAAGGCCUACCAAGCCUGCGAUCUGUAGCUGGUCUGAGAGGACGAUCAGCCACACUGGGACUGAGACACGGCCCAGACUCCUACGGGAGGCAGCAGUGGGGAAUCUUGCGCAAUGGGCGAAAGCCUGACGCAGCCAUGCCGCGUGAGUGAAGAAGGUCUUAGGAUUGUAAAGCUCUUUCGCUCGUGACGAUGAUGACGGUAACGAGAGAAGAAGCCCCGGCUAACUUCGUGCCAGCCGCCGCGGUAAC